RNAcentral lists this long non-coding RNA (1146 nucleotides) under Nicotiana benthamiana. RNAcentral's name for it is "long non-coding RNA (NBEN_LNC024785)". The record is from RNAcentral. Lineage: Eukaryota; Viridiplantae; Streptophyta; Magnoliopsida; Solanales; Solanaceae.
GAACGCCGUACAACUACCUUGCUAUCACCGAAAAUACUCAGAAGCUGCUGAAAGCUCUCGCUCUGAUGCUCUGGCGUCUGGAUCUACAGAUUAGGUGGAGUAACAUGAGUAUGACAACUCUAACCAAAGUAAAUAAGUUCUGAGUGUAGUGACGAGCAUUUAAAUCAUAUACAUAACAUAAAAUCUCAACGGAAAUAUAAAAGUGAAAUUCAUAGUUAAAUUUCCAAACAGCUCGUAAAAACUUCAGUUUCAAUGAAAGUUAUUUAAUACAUUUGUUCAUCACAUCUUCAAUAGAGGCCCAGUAUAAAAGACGAGUGAAACCGUAAUUUUAUAAACAAUUCCCUCGGGAAAAGCAUCACUCAUAUAUAUAUAUAUAGCCCCUGGAGCAGCCUCUCAGUCACUUGUGACUCAGCUCUCGUCAACCAGCACUCUCACUCAACACUCCCUCAAGAGAUAUAUCAUAAUUAAUAACCGUUACAGUGUGCAGCUUGAUCCAUAAAUAUAUAGUUGACUAGGCUCACUAGGGGUGUACAGACACCGGAGGGGCUCCUACAGCCCAAGCAAUAUAUCAUUGCGGCAUAUAGCCCCGAUCCAACAUAUUGUUGUGGUGUAUAGCCCGAUCCUUAUAAAUAUCAUAUCCCGAUCCAUAUAUAUAUAUAUAUAUAUAUAUAUAUAUAUAUAUAAUCAUCACCAUCCAGCCCUUGGCCCCUCUAAAUCACCAAUCUCACAGCCGCUCGGGCAUUUCAGUGAAAAAUCAGGAAAUCUCAGCCUAAAUAACUUUCAAAUAUUUAAAACAGAGUAAUGAAACUAAAUAAAAAAUAAACAAAUAAAAAUCAUGACUGAGUAUAUUUUUAACAUUCUGAGGGAAGUUGUAAAAUACCCCUGAGGGCCCAAACAGAUUGGCGCAAGGCCACAAAUAUGGCAUUUAGCCCAAAUUGACAGAUUCAUUUCUAAAACACAUAGAUAUCACAUAGAGUUUAUCAAAAUAGACAAUUCUAUAGUUGUCACGAGAUGAACCAAGUCACAAUCCCUACGGAUGCACGCCCACACGCCCGUCACCUAGCAUGUGUGUCACCUUAUUUACCAAAACAAUACAAAAAUUUGGGGUUUCAUAUCUUCAUGUCUAGAUUUACAAUCGUUACUUAC